GAUGAACGCUGGCGGCGUGCCUAAUACAUGCAAGUCGAGCGAACGGACGAGAAGCUUGCUUCUCUGAUGUUAGCGGCGGACGGGUGAGUAACACGUGGAUAACCUACCUAUAAGACUGGGAUAACUUCGGGAAACCGGAGCUAAUACCGGAUAAUAUUUUGAACCGCAUGGUUCAAAAGUGAAAGACGGUCUUGCUGUCACUUAUAGAUGGAUCCGCGCUGCAUUAGCUAGUUGGUAAGGUAACGGCUUACCAAGGCAACGAUGCAUAGCCGACCUGAGAGGGUGAUCGGCCACACUGGAACUGAGACACGGUCCAGACUCCUACGGGAGGCAGCAGUAGGGAAUCUUCCGCAAUGGGCGAAAGCCUGACGGAGCAACGCCGCGUGAGUGAUGAAGGUCUUCGGAUCGUAAAACUCUGUUAUUAGGGAAGAACAUAUGUGUAAGUAACUGUGCACAUCUUGACGGUACCUAAUCAGAAAGCCACGGCUAACUACGUGCCAGCAGCCGCGGUAAUACGUAGGUGGCAAGCGUUAUCCGGAAUUAUUGGGCGUAAAGCGCGCGUAGGCGGUUUUUUAAGUCUGAUGUGAAAGCCCACGGCUCAACCGUGGAGGGUCAUUGGAAACUGGAAAACUUGAGUGCAGAAGAGGAAAGUGGAAUUCCAUGUGUAGCGGUGAAAUGCGCAGAGAUAUGGAAGAACACCAGUGGCGAAGGCGACUUUCUGGUCUGUAACUGACGCUGAUGUGCGAAAGCGUGGGGAUCAAACAGGAUUAGAUACCCUGGUAGUCCACGCCGUAAACGAUGAGUGCUAAGUGUUAGGGGGUUUCCGCCCCUUAGUGCUGCAGCUAACGCAUUAAGCACUCCGCCUGGGGAGUACGACCGCAAGGUUGAAACUCAAAGGAAUUGACGGGGACCCGCACAAGCGGUGGAGCAUGUGGUUUAAUUCGAAGCAACGCGAAGAACCUUACCAAAUCUUGACAUCCUUUGACAACUCUAGAGAUAGAGCUUUCCCCUUCGGGGGACAAAGUGACAGGUGGUGCAUGGUUGUCGUCAGCUCGUGUCGUGAGAUGUUGGGUUAAGUCCCGCAACGAGCGCAACCCUUAAGCUUAGUUGCCAUCAUUAAGUUGGGCACUCUAAGUUGACUGCCGGUGACAAACCGGAGGAAGGUGGGGAUGACGUCAAAUCAUCAUGCCCCUUAUGAUUUGGGCUACACACGUGCUACAAUGGACAAUACAAAGGGCAGCGAAACCGCGAGGUCAAGCAAAUCCCAUAAAGUUGUUCUCAGUUCGGAUUGUAGUCUGCAACUCGACUACAUGAAGCUGGAAUCGCUAGUAAUCGUAGAUCAGCAUGCUACGGUGAAUACGUUCCCGGGUCU
Molecule: ribosomal RNA, 1372 nt
Filed under: uncultured bacterium
Lineage: Bacteria
Description: bacterial SSU rRNA
Rfam family: Bacterial small subunit ribosomal RNA
Source: RNAcentral